This 492-nucleotide ribosomal RNA is filed under the name uncultured bacterium. Its description in RNAcentral is "partial 16S ribosomal RNA". It matches the Rfam family "Bacterial small subunit ribosomal RNA", at positions 29 to 507 of the family's 1533-position model. The record is from RNAcentral.
AGUGAACGCUGGCGGUAGGCCUAACACAUGCAAGUCGAACGGCAGCACAGUAAGAGCUUGCUCUUACGGGUGGCGAGUGGCGGACGGGUGAGGAAUACAUCGGAAUCUACUUUUUCGUGGGGGAUAACGUAGGGAAACUUACGCUAAUACCGCAUACGACCUACGGGUGAAAGCAGGGGAUCUUCGGACCUUGCGCGAUUGAAUGAGCCGAUGUCGGAUUAGCUAGUUGGCGGGGUAAAGGCCCACCAAGGCGACGACCCGUAGCUGGUCUGAGAGGAUGAUCAGCCACACUGGAACUGAGACACGGUCCAGACUCCUACGGGAGGCAGCAGUGGGGAAUAUUGGACAAGGGGCGCAAGCCUGAUCCAGCCAUACCGCGUGGGUGAAGAAGGCCUUCGGGUUGUAAAGCCCUUUUGUUGGGAAAGAAAAGCAGCAGGUUAAUACCCCGCUGUUCUGACGGUACCCAAAGAAUAAGCACCGGCUAACUUCGUG